RNAcentral lists this ribosomal RNA (215 nucleotides) under Madascincus minutus. Its description in RNAcentral is "partial large subunit ribosomal RNA". It matches the Rfam family "Bacterial large subunit ribosomal RNA", at positions 2427 to 2601 of the family's 2925-position model. Lineage: Eukaryota; Metazoa; Chordata; Lepidosauria; Squamata; Scincidae. The record is from RNAcentral.
CCACAAAUUCUGAUAUAGGCCCACCAGCCACAAUCAAAACCAACCAGACCCAGUACCACUGAUAAACGAACCAAGUUACCCCGGGGAUAACAGCGCUAUCCCCUUAAAGAGUCCAUAUCGACAAGGGGGUUUACGACCUCGAUGUUGGAUCAGGACACCCAAAUGGUGCAGCCGCUAUUAAAGGUUCGUUUGUUCAACGAUUAACANUCCUACGU